GACGAACGCUGGCGGCGUGCUUAACACAUGCAAGUCGAACGGAAAGGCCCUGCUUUUGUGGGGUGCUCGAGUGGCGAACGGGUGAGUAACACGUGAGUAACCUGCCCUUGACUUUGGGAUAACUUCAGGAAACUGGGGCUAAUACCGGAUAGGAGCUCCUGCUGCAUGGUGGGGGGUGGAAAGUUUCGGCGGUUGGGGAUGGACUGGCGGCUUAUCAGCUUGUUGGUGGGGUAGUGGCUUACCAAGGCUUUGACGGGUAGCCGGCCUGAGAGGGUGACCGGCCACAUUGGGACUGAGAUACGGACCAGACUCCUACGGGAGGCAGCAGUGGGGAAUAUUGCACAAUGGGCGGAAGCCUGAUGCGACAACGCCGCGUGCGGGAUGACGGCCUUCGGGUUGUAAACCGCUUUCGCCUGUGACGAAGCGUGAGUGACGGUAAUGGGUAAAGAAGCACCGGCUAACUACGUG
Molecule: ribosomal RNA, 468 nt
Filed under: uncultured bacterium
Lineage: Bacteria
Description: partial 16S ribosomal RNA
Rfam family: Bacterial small subunit ribosomal RNA
Source: RNAcentral